Camelus ferus (Wild Bactrian camel) is the source of this 72-nucleotide transfer RNA. It matches the Rfam family "tRNA". From Rfam's summary of the family: Transfer RNA (tRNA) molecules are approximately 80 nucleotides in length. Their secondary structure includes four short double-helical elements and three loops (D, anti-codon, and T loops). The record is from Rfam. NCBI's taxonomy places the organism in Eukaryota, Metazoa, Chordata, Mammalia, Artiodactyla, Camelidae.
GAGGGUAUAGCUCAGUGGUAGAGCAUAUACUUAGCAUGCACAAGGUCCUGGGUUCGAUCUCCAAUACCUCCA